Molecule: non-coding RNA, 21 nt
Organism: Caenorhabditis elegans
Lineage: Eukaryota; Metazoa; Nematoda; Chromadorea; Rhabditida; Rhabditidae
Source: Ensembl
UUCUUGUACAUGAAGUUUAAA